This 81-nucleotide ribosomal RNA is filed under the name Citrobacter freundii. The record is from RNAcentral. RNAcentral also lists the same sequence under 27 other names. Lineage: Bacteria; Pseudomonadati; Pseudomonadota; Gammaproteobacteria; Enterobacterales; Enterobacteriaceae.
CAUGCCGAACUCAGAAGUGAAACGCCGUAGCGCCGAUGGUAGUGUGGGGUCUCCCCAUGCGAGAGUAGGGAACUGCCAGGC